GUCUAGGGCCAUACCACCCUGAACGCGCCUGAUCUCGGAAGCUAAGCAGGGUCAGGCCUGGUUAGUACUUGGCUGGGAAAAUUCUUGUUCUGUGAUGAAAAACAACAAACCUGCAACC
Fukomys damarensis (Damara mole-rat) is the source of this 118-nucleotide ribosomal RNA. Lineage: Eukaryota; Metazoa; Chordata; Mammalia; Rodentia; Bathyergidae. The record is from Ensembl.